UGCGAGUCUUUGUAGUAAUACAAGGCAGACGGCUCAGUAACACGUAGUCAACCUACCCUAUGGACAAGAAUAAUCUCGGGAAACUGGGCAUAAUUCUUGAUAGAUCAUAAUGCCUGGAAUGGUUUAUGGUUAAAAUGAUUCGUCGCCAUAGGAUGGGACUGCGGCCUAUCAGCUUGUUGGUGAGGUAAUGGCCCACCAAGGCGAUUACAGGUACGGGCUCUGAGAGGAGAAGCCCGGAGAUGGGUACUGAGACACGGACCCAGGCCCUAUGGGGCGCAGCAGGCGAGAAAACUUUGCAAUGUGCGAAAGCACGACAAGGUUAAUCCGAGUGAUUUCUGCUAAAGAAAUCUUUUGCCAGUCAUAAAACCACUGGUGAAUAAGGGGUGGGCAAGUUCUGGUGUCAGCCGCCGCGGUAAAACCAGCACCUCAAGUGGUCAGGAUGAUUAUUGGGCCUAAAGCAUCCGUAGCCGGCUUUGUAAGUUUUCGGUUAAAUCCAUGUGCUCAACGCAUGGGCUGCCGAAAAUACUGCAUGGCUAGGGAGUGGGAGAGGUAGACGGUACUCAGUAGGAAGGGGUAAAAUCCUUUGAUCUAUUGAUGACCACCUGUGGCGAAGGCGGUCUACCAGAACACGUUCGACGGUGAGGGAUGAAAGCUGGGGGAGCAAACCGGAUUAGAUACCCGGGUAGUCCCAGCUGUAAACGAUGCAGACUCGAUGAUGCAUUGGCAUAAUAGCCAGUGCAGUGUCGCAGGGAAGCCGUUAAGUCUGCCGCCUGGGAAGUACGUACGCAAGUAUGAAACUUAAAGGAAUUGG
This 811-nucleotide ribosomal RNA is filed under the name uncultured prokaryote. Its description in RNAcentral is "bacterial SSU rRNA". It matches the Rfam family "Archaeal small subunit ribosomal RNA", at positions 52 to 868 of the family's 1478-position model. The record is from RNAcentral.